This 327-nucleotide ribosomal RNA is filed under the name uncultured bacterium. Its description in RNAcentral is "partial small subunit ribosomal RNA". It matches the Rfam family "Bacterial small subunit ribosomal RNA", at positions 169 to 488 of the family's 1533-position model. The record is from RNAcentral.
CCGCAUACGCCCNUNCGGGGGAAAGCGGGGGAUCUUCNGGNCCUCGCAGCUAACAGAUGAGCCUGCGUUGGAUUAGCUAGUUGGUAGGGUAAANNCCUACCAAGGCGACGAUCCAUAGCUGGUCUGAGAGGACGAUCAGCCACACUGGGACUGAGACACGGGCCCAGACUCCUACGGGAGGCAGCAGUGGGGAAUAUUGGACAAUGGGCGCAAGCCUGAUCCAGCAAUACCGCGUGUGUGAAGAAGGCCUGANGGUUGUAAAGNACUUUUAAUCGGGAGGAAAACCUAUCGGCCAAUAGGCGAUANCUUGAAAUUACCGAUAGAGNG